CUGGAAAGAUAUGAAGGAGGUAGACCAUGAGUGGUUUUGAAAGCCAGGUUAAAAAUGAUAAACUUUGUCUUCAAAGCCAUGAAAUUUCAUAGAUACGGUUUCAGCAGGUCUGAGUUUUAGAAAUUAUUGUGAUUGCUGGGUGGAAAAUUAAUUGGGGAGUGGCAAGACUGGAGAUAGAGAGUUGAUAUAUGAUGUUACGGCCCUUUUAUUUUCUAUUUGCCGUCUGAAAAAAUGUAUCUCUGUAAUAGAUGAUAAGGGUAAGUAAAAGCCAUGCCAACAGAACACUCAUGAAAUUAAAAAAGAAGGUCAUCUAUUUACUCAUUCAGCAGAUAGGAGUGCUCUUCCAAAGGCAGAAGUUAACAUAGGAGUAAUAGAAAAUGGCUGUAAUGGUUUGUACAGUAAAGGAACUCAUAGGUUUCAUGGGGUAGUGGUAUGGAAAUCGCUAG
This 446-nucleotide long non-coding RNA is filed under the name Homo sapiens (human). RNAcentral describes it as "HSALNT0192618". Lineage: Eukaryota; Metazoa; Chordata; Mammalia; Primates; Hominidae. The record is from RNAcentral.